GUGGAUCCCUGGCUUGUGGGUCGAUGAAGAACGGAGCAAACUCCGUGUUGUCGUGUGAACUGCAGGACACAUGAACAUCGACACUUUGAACGCAAAUGGCGGCCCUCG
RNAcentral lists this ribosomal RNA (108 nucleotides) under Thrips tabaci. RNAcentral describes it as "partial 5.8S ribosomal RNA". It matches the Rfam family "5.8S ribosomal RNA", at positions 12 to 122 of the family's 154-position model. From Rfam's summary of the family: 5.8S ribosomal RNA (5.8S rRNA) is a component of the large subunit of the eukaryotic ribosome. It is transcribed by RNA polymerase I as part of the 45S precursor that also contains 18S and 28S rRNA. The record is from RNAcentral. Lineage: Eukaryota; Metazoa; Arthropoda; Insecta; Thysanoptera; Thripidae.